AAGAAAAAAGCUUUGCCUCUCUGUUCAGUAUUGCAUGACCGACCAAUCUUUUAUUUUCUUUUGACUCUCUCUCUCACACACACACUCUCUCAUACUUAUGUUAUAACUUAGAAGUCGCUUUCGCUAAAAAGAGAACCUCUUUUCUCUCUCGUGCUUAUCUUAAAGUACAAACUUAGGAGUUACGUGCAAAGAUGAAACACUAUCAUUGUAAAUAAAAACUCCUAUUUUGGUCAUCCAUUGUUAUCCACUCUUUCCAUUUAUACAUGCCGCCUUCUCCGCCUAAUUAUCCACCACAUCCCAUGCUCUUUCUUCUUUAUCUCUCUUCCCUCUCUCUCUAUCUCUAGGCCUGCAAUUAUCAGGAGGACCACAUGACUAUAAUGGUUGGACUCGCUGGCUUCUUCUAAGGUUGCUUU
Arabidopsis thaliana (thale cress) is the source of this 413-nucleotide long non-coding RNA. RefSeq annotates it as other RNA. The transcript has 2 exons. NCBI's taxonomy places the organism in Eukaryota, Viridiplantae, Streptophyta, Magnoliopsida, Brassicales, Brassicaceae. The record is from RefSeq.